GACGAACGCUGGCGGCGUGCUUAACACAUGCAAGUCGAACGGAAAGGCCCCUUUUGGGUGACGCGAGUGGCUGACGGACGAGUAACACGUGAGUAAGCUGCCCUUGCCUUCCGUAGAACUUCAGUAAACUGGGUCGAAUACCUGAUAGGAAUCAUUGCUGCAUGGAGGGGGGUGGAAGGCUUCUGCGGGUGUGGAUGGACGGGCGGCCUAUCAGCCUGUUGGUGGGGUAGUGGCUUACCAAGGCUUUGACGGGUAGGCGGCCCGAGUGGGCGGCCGGCCACAUUGGGACUGGGAUACGGCCCAGACCCCUACGGGGGGGAGGAGGGGGGAAUAUUGCACCAUGGGCGGAAGCCUGAUGCAGCAACGCCGCGUGCGGGAUGACGGGCUUCGGGUUGGAAACCGCUUUCCGCAGGGGAGAAGCUUGUGGUGACGGUACCUGCAGAAGAAGCACCGGCUAACUACGUG
Molecule: ribosomal RNA, 465 nt
Filed under: uncultured bacterium
Lineage: Bacteria
Description: partial 16S ribosomal RNA
Rfam family: Bacterial small subunit ribosomal RNA
Source: RNAcentral